CCUACGGGAGGCAGCAGUGAGGAAUAUUGGUCAAUGGCCGUAAGGCUGAACCAGCCAAGUCGCGUGAAGGAAGAAGGAUCUAUGGUUUGUAAACUUCUUUUAUAGGGGAAUAAAGGUAUCCACGUGUGGAUAUUUGCAUGUACCCUAUGAAUAAGCAUCGGCUAACUCCGUGCCAGCAGCCGCGGUAAUACGGAGGAUGCGAGCGUUAUCCGGAUUUAUUGGGUUUAAAGGGUGCGUAGGUUGUUUUUUAAGUCAGCGGUGAAAGUUUGUGGCUCAACCAUAAAAUUGCCGUUGAAACUGGAAGACGUGAAUGUGUGUGAGGUAGGCGGAAUGCGUGGUGUAGCGGUGAAAUGCAGAGAUAUCACGCAGAACUCCGAUUGCGAAGGCAGCUUACUAAGCCAUAACUGACACUGAAGCACGAAAGCGUGGGGAUCAAACAGGAUUAGAUACCCCUGUAGUC
RNAcentral lists this ribosomal RNA (460 nucleotides) under uncultured bacterium. RNAcentral describes it as "partial 16S ribosomal RNA". It matches the Rfam family "Bacterial small subunit ribosomal RNA", at positions 338 to 795 of the family's 1533-position model. The record is from RNAcentral.